This 253-nucleotide ribosomal RNA is filed under the name uncultured bacterium. RNAcentral describes it as "partial 16S ribosomal RNA". It matches the Rfam family "Bacterial small subunit ribosomal RNA", at positions 524 to 776 of the family's 1533-position model. The record is from RNAcentral.
UACAGAGGUCCCGAGCGUUGUUCGGAUUCACUGGGCGUAAAGGGUGCGUAGGUGGCCUGAAAAGUUUGAUGUGAAAGCUCAGGGCUUAACCCUGAAAUGGCAUUGAAUACUGUCGGGCUGGAGGUUUGGAGGGGGGACUGGAAUUCUUGGUGUAGCAGUGAAAUGCGUAGAUAUCAAGAGGAACACCAGUGGCGAAGGCGAGUCCCUGGACAACACCUGACACUGAGGCACGAAAGCGUGGGUAGCAAACAGG